RNAcentral lists this small RNA (520 nucleotides) under Histoplasma capsulatum var. duboisii H88. Its description in RNAcentral is "Histoplasma capsulatum H88 hypothetical RNA". The record is from RNAcentral. Lineage: Eukaryota; Fungi; Ascomycota; Eurotiomycetes; Onygenales; Ajellomycetaceae.
CAACAUACAAAGAAUGAAGCCUGGGACUUGAAGUUUUCGGAAGAAGUAGCUGGCUAGCUUGGGAAAGGGAUCAUCUAAUCCAUUCACAUUAUCUCGCUCCUAUUCUAAAUGCGUUGAAAUUUAAUUUUAUUCAGGAAGCUUCUCAUGGCGCUCUGCGCUGUUUGCUCAACCGAGCCGUCCAAGUAUCGUUGUCCCACAUGUAAUGUGCAGAGCUGCUCUCUCGCUUGCACCCAAUCCCACAAGUCAUACUGUUCCCCUAGCGCUCCUGAGCAGGACCACGAGUCAGAGAAGCCGGGGCUACUUGAGAACGCUCAAAAAAACGGUACAUAUGAAACUGCACCUGUCGAUGUUUGUGAAGGCACAAUAGAUCGCGUCCUACAACCUCACACCAACCCUACGACCAACAUACUCGUAACCUCCAACAUCCCGAAUGCAGCCCUUCACUUCCAAAACCUAGAAUCGUCCCAGGCGCUGAAGGACCUGUUUACCCAAUUCCCCGCUCUCCGAUCUCAGCUACGAG